GAAACAAAGUACACUUAUUGGAAGGUAAGUCUAAGAAUAUUGUUAUUCAGUUACGUUGAAUUUAUCCUUUUUGGUGUUCUUUUUAAUUAAUUGAGUGUUUUUUAAUAAAAAGAAAUUAUUUUAUUUACCUUUUGUAUCAGGGUUUUUUAAAAUUAUUAAUUAAUUAAAUAUCUCGAAUCAAUAAUGAGCUAAUUAAUUUAUUUUUGUUUCAAUAAAUAAUUAAUUAUUUUAGUUAUGAAAUGUUAUCGUAUUUUGGGUUAUCUUGUUACUUAAAUAACUUAUAUUAUAAUUGUAUUUAAUCCAAUUAAAUAGAAAAGUUAAUUUUUUUAUUUUUAAUAAAUAAAAUUAUUUUUUUUAUUAAUUAGGUUUAAUAUUAAUCAUAUUUAUAAAUUGUUAUAAAUAAUUAAAUGAUUUAAUAUUUUAUUAUUUUUAUUUAAGUUAUUUAAAUUAUUAUAUAAUUUUUAAAAAUAAUGAAUUAAUUAGUAUUAGGUUUGUAUUAUAUAUUUAACUCGUAUUUUAUUUGAUAGUUUAACAAAAACAUUUUUUUUUGUUAAUAUAAAGUAAGGCCUGCCCAGUGAUUUAAACGGCUGCAGUAUAUUAACUGUACUAAGGUAGCAUAAUCAUUUGUUUUUUAAUUGAGAACUGGCAUGAAUGGUUUUACAAAUAAUUAAUUUUAAUAUAUUUAUUUAGUAAUUUUUAUUUUAAAUAAUAAUAUUUAAAUAUAAUAAAGGGACGAUAAGACCCUAAAAGCUUUUUUAUUUGUUUAUUUUUUUAAUUUAAAUAAUUAUAUUUAGUUGGGGUAAUGUAAAUAUAAAUUUUAUUUUAUAAAUUUGCAAUUAUAAUUGGUUAUUUGAUCUUUUAUAUAAAGAAGUAUAGAAUUAGUUACUUUAGGGAUAACAGUGUAAUAAUUUUAGAAAGGCCUUAUUAAUAAAAUUGAUUACAACCUCGAUGUUGAAUUAAGAUGUGUAUAUUCUGUAGC
RNAcentral lists this ribosomal RNA (979 nucleotides) under Niphargus fontanus. RNAcentral describes it as "partial 16S ribosomal RNA". The record is from RNAcentral. Lineage: Eukaryota; Metazoa; Arthropoda; Malacostraca; Amphipoda; Niphargidae.